GACGAACGCUGGCGGCGUGCUUAAUACAUGCAAGUCGAACGGACAGGCGCUGCGCUUGUGGGGUGCUCGUUUGGCGCACGGGUGAGUAACACGCGUGUAACCUGUCCUUGUCUGUGGGAUAACAUUUGGAAACUGGGGCUAAUACCGGAUAGGAGCUCUUGAAGCAUGGUGGGGGUUGGUAAGAUUCGGCGGUUGGGGCUGGAUUCGCGGGUUAUGGGCUUGUUUGUGGGGUUGGGGCUUACCAAGGCUUUGACGGGUAGCCGGCCUGAGAGGGUGACCGGCCACAUUGGGACUGAGAUACGGCCCAGACGCCUACGGGAGGCAGCAGUGGAGAAUAUUGCACAAUGGGCGGAAGCCUGAUGCAGAAACGCCGCGUGCGGGAUGCCGGCCUUCGGGUUGUAAACCGAUUUCGACUGUGACGAAGCGUGAGUGACGGUAAUGGGUAAAGAAGCACCGGCUAACUACGUG
Molecule: ribosomal RNA, 468 nt
Filed under: uncultured bacterium
Lineage: Bacteria
Description: partial 16S ribosomal RNA
Rfam family: Bacterial small subunit ribosomal RNA
Source: RNAcentral